This 140-nucleotide ribosomal RNA is filed under the name uncultured Thermotogae bacterium. RNAcentral's name for it is "partial 16S ribosomal RNA". It matches the Rfam family "Bacterial small subunit ribosomal RNA", at positions 389 to 525 of the family's 1533-position model. Lineage: Bacteria; Thermotogati; Thermotogota; Thermotogae. The record is from RNAcentral.
CAGCGACGCCGCGUGGAGGAAGAAGUCCUUCGGGAUGUAAACUUCUGAACUAGCCGAAUAAAAGGCCUGUGGACACACAGGAGAAGAAAGUAGGCUAGGAAAAGUCCCGGCUAACUACGUGCCAGCAGCCGCGGUAAUGA